RNAcentral lists this ribosomal RNA (446 nucleotides) under uncultured bacterium. RNAcentral's name for it is "partial 16S ribosomal RNA". It matches the Rfam family "Bacterial small subunit ribosomal RNA", at positions 338 to 795 of the family's 1533-position model. The record is from RNAcentral.
CCUACGGGAGGCAGCAGUGGGGGAUAUUGCACAAUGGGGGAAACCCUGAUGCAGCGACGCCGCGUGUGGGAAGACGGUCCUCUGGAUUGUAAACCCCUGUCAUGUGGGAGCAAAUUAAAAAGAUAGUACCACAAGAGGAAGAGACGGCUAACUCUGUGCCAGCAGCCGCGGUAAUACAGAGGUCUCAAGCGUUGUUCGGAAUCACUGGGCGUAAAGCGUGCGUAGGCUGUUUCGUAAGUCGUGUGUGAAAGGCGCGGGCUCAACCCGCGGACGGCACAUGAUACUGCGAGACUAGAGUAAUGGAGGGGGAACCGGAAUGCUCGGUGUAGCAGUGAAAUGCGUAGAUAUCGAGAGGAACACUCGUGGCGAAGGCGGGUUCCUGGACAUUAACUGACGCUGAGGCACGAAGGCCAGGGGAGCGAAAGGGAUUAGAUACCCGAGUAGUC